Molecule: long non-coding RNA, 1027 nt
Organism: Nasonia vitripennis (jewel wasp)
Lineage: Eukaryota; Metazoa; Arthropoda; Insecta; Hymenoptera; Pteromalidae
Exons: 4
Source: RefSeq, a predicted model, not a curated record
GCUCUCGAGCAUGAUUUUUUAAUGGGAUUAAUGGGAAUUGAAUUAAAUUAUUGUAAAUUAUCGUAAUUAUUCUUCGACUAAGUCUUGUUUGUUUUAAUAUCGUCAGUCGUAUACAAAAAUGAGCACAACACGCCACAAACGUUUAACCUAUAUACGUAUAGGCGAAACCCUUACGGCGACUUUUCGUGUCGACGAGAAGCUGGGCCUGUCUCUUGAGCAACGUCCUCGAGGGGAUGUCGUCCUCGUCCUCCGAUGGUUGAGCCUGAGCUGCCGGAGUCGUGACCGUCGGGAAGAGCGGAAAUAGCGGCUGGUCGUCGACGUUUAUGUGCUUCGUGUGUUCCGACGCCGUCUCCAGCGACAUGGCUUCGAUCUGCGAGCGACAGACAGGACUAGUACAACCGAUAACUCACUGAUCGGCGUCCUUAGUCUCCGAGAACUUCUGCAUCUCGAUCUCGGCGGUGAGCUGCUGCCUCUUCUUCUCCAAGAGCAUCUUCUCCUCCUCUGUGGCCGUCUGCAUCUUCUUGAGCUUCUCCUUGGUGGCCCGUUGCGCCAGGAACCUGUUGAGCACGUCUUCGGUCCUGGAGACUCCGGUAGCGUUGCGCAGCUUCACGAACACCUCCUCGAGUCGGUCGACCUCCGCCUGUGGCACGUCCUUGUCGGCUAUCUGCCAUUUGCUUCGACUCGUCGUCGUCUCGAAGUCGUCGCCUCGGGGCAUCGGUUUCGUUGACGGGAACAUCAUGCGCUCCAGGCGCUCGAGCUCCAUUUUUCGAUCUUCCACUCGUUUUCUGCAGCGAGAAAAUUUCGCGCUCUUUGCUCGUGUGCAUCGCCUGUAUCUCCUGCUUGGUCAGAGUCUCCUUCGUGGUGUCCCUAAGCUCGAUCGCCUCCGCCUUGACUUUCUGCGCCCGCAUGAAAAUACCUUUGCUCAAAACUCUCACACUGAUACGCGAAGUAGCGUUUGAAAAUCAUCGAGCCUAAUUGCUUCCGCCGUAACCGCGGCUUGCAAAGAUAAUAAAUAAAAAAAAUAAUA